Molecule: ribosomal RNA, 497 nt
Filed under: uncultured bacterium
Lineage: Bacteria
Description: partial 16S ribosomal RNA
Rfam family: Bacterial small subunit ribosomal RNA
Source: RNAcentral
GAUGAACGCUGGCGGCGUGCCUAAUACAUGCAAGUCGAGCGAACGGACGAGAAGCUUGCUUCUCUGAUGUUAGCGGCGGACGGGUGAGUAACACGUGGAUAACCUACCUAUAAGACUGGGAUAACUUCGGGAAACCGGAGCUAAUACCGGACGAUAUUUUGAACCGCAUGGUUCAAAAGUGGAAGACGGUCUUGCUGUCACUUAUAGAUGGAUCCGCGCUGCAUUAGCUAGUUGGUAAGGUAACGGCUUACCAAGGCAACGAUGCAUAGCCGACCUGAGAGGGUGAUCGGCCACACUGGAACUGAGACACGGUCCAGACUCCUACGGGAGGCAGCAGUAGGGAAUCUUCCGCAAUGGGCGAAAGCCUGACGGAGCAACGCCGCGUGAGUGAUGAAGGUCUUCGGAUCGUAAAACUCUGUUAUUAGGGAAGAACAUAUGUGUAAGUAACUGUGCACAUCUUGACGGUACCUAAUCAGAAAGCCACGGCUAACUACGUG